GGGGUACUCGAGCGGCGAACGGGUGAGUAACACGUGAGUAACCUGCCCCUAGCUUCGGGAUAGCUCCGGGAAACCGGAAUUAAUACCGGAUACGACUACGGCCGACAUCGGCCAUGGUGGAAAGAUUUAUCGGCUAGGGAUGGGCUCGCGGCCUAUCAGCUUGUUGGUGGGGUAACAGCCUACCAAGGCGACGACGGGUAGCCGGCCUGAGAGGGCGACCGGCCACACUGGGACUGAGACACGGCCCAGACUCCUACGGGAGGCAGCAGUGGGGAAUAUUGCGCAAUGGGCGAAAGCCUGACGCAGCGACGCCGCGUGGGGGAUGAAGGCCUUCGGGUUGUAAACCCCUUUCGGCAGGGACGAAGCGAAAGUGACGGUACCUGCAGAAGAAGCGCCGGCUAACUACGUGCCAGCAGCCGCGGUAAC
Molecule: ribosomal RNA, 426 nt
Filed under: uncultured Actinomycetes bacterium
Lineage: Bacteria; Bacillati; Actinomycetota; Actinomycetes
Description: bacterial SSU rRNA
Rfam family: Bacterial small subunit ribosomal RNA
Source: RNAcentral